This 171-nucleotide ribosomal RNA is filed under the name uncultured Actinomycetes bacterium. RNAcentral's name for it is "uncultured actinobacterium partial 16S ribosomal RNA". It matches the Rfam family "Bacterial small subunit ribosomal RNA", at positions 344 to 507 of the family's 1533-position model. Lineage: Bacteria; Bacillati; Actinomycetota; Actinomycetes. The record is from RNAcentral.
GGAGGCAGCAGCAGGGAAUCUUGCGCAAUGCGCGAAAGCGUGACGCAGCAACGCCGCGUGGGGGAAGACGGCCUUCGGGUUGUAAACCCCUUUCAGUUGGGACGAAGGUCGGGCGGUUAAUAGCCGUUCCGACUGACGGUACCUUCACAAGAAGCCCCGGCUAACUACGUG